This is a small nucleolar RNA of Pseudophryne corroboree (corroboree frog), 109 nucleotides long. RefSeq annotates it as small nucleolar RNA SNORD67. The transcript has a single exon. The record is from RefSeq and is a predicted model, not a curated record. Lineage: Eukaryota; Metazoa; Chordata; Amphibia; Anura; Myobatrachidae.
CUGGAGGAUGAUGAGUUGCACCCAAGGGCUCUGCAGUGCUGUGUACUGUGGUGCCUAACAGAGCCAUAAUGGUGACACAUCCAUGUGCACAGGGGCCAGCUGACUCCAU